GGGAAAACCCUUAAUAAAUGGAUUACUUCUUAUACUGAUGGCCAGAGGUUCAAUAGACAUGAUGUACAAUAAUGGGGACAGGGGACAACCCUGUCUCGUACCAUUUCCAAGAGCGAACCACCCCGCUGAUAUAUUGGGACCCACCGUUCUUGCUGCAGGGGAGGAAUAGAGAGCGACAAUGGCUCUAUAAAUCCAGCCCCUUAUUCCAAAUGCCUGAAGAACUCCUUCUAAGUAGCCCCACCCAACCCUGUUGAACGUUUUUUCUGCAUCCAAUGACAUCCAAGGGCUAGGAGGGGCAUUUCAUGUCUAUGCGCCAUGUCCAGUAUAUCAAGUAUCCUUCUUGUAUUAUUUGAAGUGGACCGAC
This is a non-coding RNA of Pelobates cultripes (western spadefoot toad), 364 nucleotides long. NCBI's taxonomy places the organism in Eukaryota, Metazoa, Chordata, Amphibia, Anura, Pelobatidae. The record is from the annotation of a GenBank genome assembly.